This 468-nucleotide ribosomal RNA is filed under the name uncultured bacterium. RNAcentral's name for it is "partial 16S ribosomal RNA". It matches the Rfam family "Bacterial small subunit ribosomal RNA", at positions 28 to 507 of the family's 1533-position model. The record is from RNAcentral.
GACGAACGCUGGCGGCGUGCUUAACACAUGCAAGUCGAACGGAAAGGCCCUUCUUUUGUGGGGUGCUCGAGUGGCGAACGGGUGAGUAACACGUGAGUAACCUGCCCUUGACUUUGGGAUAACUUCAGGAAACUGGGGCUAAUACCGGAUAGGAGCUCCUGCUGCAUGGUGGGGGUUGGAAAGUUUCGGCGGUUGGGGAUGGACUCGCGGCUUAUCAGCUUGUUGGUGGGGUAGUGGCCUACCAAGGCUUUGACGGGUAGCCGGCCUGAGAGGGUGACCGGCCACAUUGGGACUGAGAUACGGCCCAGACUCCUACGGGAGGCAGCAGUGGGGAAUAUUGCACAAUGGGCGGAAGCCUGAUGCAGCAACGCCGCGUGCGGGAUGACGGCCUUCGGUUUGUAAACCGCUUUCGCCUGUGACGAAGCGUGAGUGACGGUAAUGGGUAAAGAAGCACCGGCUAACUACGUG